This 253-nucleotide ribosomal RNA is filed under the name uncultured bacterium. Its description in RNAcentral is "partial 16S ribosomal RNA". It matches the Rfam family "Bacterial small subunit ribosomal RNA", at positions 524 to 776 of the family's 1533-position model. The record is from RNAcentral.
UACGGAGGGUGCGAGCGUUGUCCGGAAUCACUGGGCGUAAAGGGCGCGUAGGCGGCGCGGGGAGUCAACGGUGAAAGCUCGGCGCUCAACGCCGAGUCGGCCGUCGAUACUCCCGUGCUUGAGCACUGUAGAGGCAGGUGGAAUUCCGGGUGUAGCGGUGGAAUGCGUAGAGAUCCGGAAGAACACCGGUGGCGAAGGCGGCCUGCUGGGCAGUAGCUGACGCUGAGGCGCGACAGCGUGGGGAGCGAACAGG